This 792-nucleotide ribosomal RNA is filed under the name uncultured bacterium. RNAcentral's name for it is "bacterial SSU rRNA". It matches the Rfam family "Bacterial small subunit ribosomal RNA", at positions 605 to 1396 of the family's 1533-position model. The record is from RNAcentral.
GGGCUCAACCUCGGAACCGCAUUUGAAACUGGCAGGCUAGAGUCUUGUAGAGGGGGGUAGAAUUUCAGGUGUAGCGGUGAAAUGCGUAGAGAUCUGAAGGAAUACCAGUGGCGAAGGCGGCCCCCUGGACAAAGACUGACGCUCAGAUGCGAAAGCGUGGGUAGCAAACAGGAUUAGAUACCCUGGUAGUCCACGCCGUAAACGCUGUCUACUUGGAGGUUGAGGUUUAAGACUUUGGCUUUCGGCGCUAACGCAUUAAGUAGACCGCCUGGGGAGUACGGCCGCAAGGUUAAAACUCAAAUGAAUUGACGGGGGCCCGCACAAGCGGUGGAGCAUGUGGUUUAAUUCGAUGCAACGCGAAGAACCUUACCUACUCUUGACAUCCAGCGAAGCCUUUAGAGAUAGAGGCGUGCCUUCGGGAGCGCUGAGACAGGUGCUGCAUGGCUGUCGUCAGCUCGUGUUGUGAAAUGUUGGGUUAAGUCCCGCAACGAGCGCAACCCUUAUCCUUGUUUGCCAGCACAUAAUGGUGGGAACUCCAGGGAGACUGCCGGUGAUAAACCGGAGGAAGGUGGGGACGACGACAAGUCAUCAUGGCCCUUACGAGUAGGGCUACACACGUGCUACAAUGGCAGAUACAGAGGGCAGCGAAGCUGCGAAGUGGAGCGAAUCCCUUAAAGUCUGUCGUAGUCCGGAUUGGAGUCUGCAACUCGACUCCAUGAAGUCGGAAUCGCUAGUAAUCGUGGAUCAGAAUGCCACGGUGAAUACGUUCCCGGGCCUUGCACACACCGCCCG